GAGAGUGGGUGUAUAACCUGAAACUGUUUGAAAUGAUAAAACUUUAUGUAACUACUCUAUAAUAGUAAGAAUAGGAGUUAGGCAACCAAAUGUCUAUUUAGAUAAGGCAGACUUCAUAAAGAGUGUAU
Neopelma chrysocephalum (saffron-crested tyrant-manakin) is the source of this 128-nucleotide long non-coding RNA. RefSeq lists it as uncharacterized. The record is from RefSeq and is a predicted model, not a curated record. The transcript has 4 exons. Lineage: Eukaryota; Metazoa; Chordata; Aves; Passeriformes; Pipridae.